UCCAAGCUUUCAGGCCUAACACAUGCAAGUCGAGCGGUAGCACAGGGGAGCUUUGCUCCCUCGGGUGACGAGCGGCGGACGGGUGAGUAAUGUCUGGGAAACUGCCUGAUGGAGGGGGAUAACUACUGGAAACGGUAGCUAAUACCGCAUAACGUCGCAAGACCAAAGAGGGGGACCUUCGGGCCUCUUGCCAUCAGAUGUGCCCAGAUGGGAUUAGCUAGUAGGUGGGGUAAUGGCUCACCUAGGCGACGAUCCCUAGCUGGUCUGAGAGGAUGACCAGCCACACUGGAACUGAGACACGGUCCAGACUCCUACGGGAGGCAGCAGUGGGGAAUAUUGCACAAUGGGCGCAAGCCUGAUGCAGCCAUGCCGCGUGUGUGUAGAAGGCCUUCGGGUUGUAAAGCACUUUCAGCGAGGAGGAAGGUGGUGAACUUAAUACGUUCAUCAAUUGACGUUACUCGCAGAAGAAGCACCGGCUAACUCCGUGCCAGCAGCCGCGGUAAUACGGAGGGUGCAAGCGUUAAUCGGAAUUACUGGGCGUAAAGCGCACGCAGGCGGUUUGUUAAGUCAGAUGUGAAAUCCCCGGGCUCAACCUGGGAA
RNAcentral lists this ribosomal RNA (600 nucleotides) under uncultured bacterium. RNAcentral's name for it is "bacterial SSU rRNA". It matches the Rfam family "Bacterial small subunit ribosomal RNA", at positions 30 to 620 of the family's 1533-position model. The record is from RNAcentral.